CGUCAACCUGGCCGGGGCGGUCAUGGCGGGCUCGCUCGUGCUGGCCCUGUUCGCGCUGCGCGCGGGCGAGCGGGAGUUCGACGCGGCCCUCGACAC
This 96-nucleotide transfer RNA is filed under the name Microbacterium album. RNAcentral describes it as "tRNA-Thr". Lineage: Bacteria; Bacillati; Actinomycetota; Actinomycetes; Micrococcales; Microbacteriaceae. The record is from RNAcentral.